This is a long non-coding RNA of Xenia sp. Carnegie-2017, 746 nucleotides long. RefSeq lists it as uncharacterized. The transcript has 3 exons. Lineage: Eukaryota; Metazoa; Cnidaria; Anthozoa; Malacalcyonacea; Xeniidae. The record is from RefSeq and is a predicted model, not a curated record.
AUUGCAAUUGCUAGGGAUGGAAGACAUGAUUCCAUGAGACAUUGUUCUAAAUACUGUGCAUAUACAACAUUCUUUUGCACAGUACCUCAAAUCAUUAGUUUUUCUCUUGUGCAGAAGUGACCAAAGUCCUGACCAAUCUUGCAAAAUGUGCUGGAUGUGAGUCUUUAUCAAGCUAGAUAAGACCUUGUUCCAACCACUAGUACUGGAGUGCUUCAUCAACACCCUCUGGUAACGGGAAUGUAAUUGUUACUAAGUUAAAACUUUCCUUGGUCAUGUCAAAAACAAACACAGUGGAUUUUCAGACCCGUUAUUUGACAAAUGUGCUCAUGAUUCCGACAUAAAACCAUGCAAAUGGAUAAAUGAAGAUUCUAUAUCAUACAAUAAGAUGUAUGCAGCUUUAACUAAACCAAGGUUGAUUGCUGGAAUCAUGAAAGCUUCUCCAAUCUCUCAAACAAGUGCAUUGAAGGGAUUUCACUCAGUUUUUCACCAGUUUGCACCCAAAAUGAUCAGCUACUUUUUUCUUGGAAUGUUCAGCAGGUAUUCUAUGAAACAUGUGUGAUGAAACACGUCGGGGACCAACGUUGAGUGAACGUUUUUUUGUGAACUCUUUGGAACGUGGUGGCGACGUUAGGAUGAACGUUGGCAUGUAACGUAUUUUCAUUUAACAUACAAUUAAUGAUGCAUUAUUUGUGAAAUCAUAAAACAGCCUUUCCAAUGAUACCAACUAAAGUUUAAUUUCCAUAUAA